UGUAUGAACAAGCCCCCGGUGUCACAGCCUGUCCUGAAAUUUCAUUUAUCGUGGAUGUGAAUUGACGGAAUUGCCCUUAAAGGUGACUAAGGUAUGUUGGAAAUAUGCCCUAAAAGUCAAUCUUUGGAAGAAACCUUUCAGAACAAUAAAUGGAUGUAUAGAUGACUCUUAUACAUCAAAUGGCAAAGAUACUAUUUAGGACUAUCUCUAUAAAUGAUAUAUGUCCUAAAUGGUGAAUCCAUGGACAAUGGAUAGAUUGAAGAAGUAAUCUAAUGAAGUUAGACUACAGAGACCUUCUUCACAUAACCAUCAUGUCCAAAAGGUUCAUGGUCAUAAGAUUGUCGGAGGGAUACUGACAAUGCAUAGACCGGUACAUACUAUGUCCGCUUCGAUUAGAAGGAUGGAAAGUCUCAUCCCAUUCGUGUAGUGAUACUAAGACAAGUAUGCAGGUGCUCAUUAAGGGAAUGAGUUCACUGAACACAAUCGAACGAGAGUACUUGCAUGGAGGUCUACUCACAUGUCAAGCAAGUAACUCUAAUAGUUGGAAUAAUGUAAGUAGUCCUUUGACCUGAGGCAUCAUCAUUGUCUUGUGGUUAAGUACUUGAUCUUUGAUUAUGUCAAAGUCACUCCAUCCGCCGGUGUCCACGGCAUAGUCGGGGUUAAGCCACUUAGUCAUGAAGGCAAGUGAAUGUGCAACAAGGAAUCUCUAAUCCUCGUUAAGAGAGGAUGAAUACUCUAAGAUAUGAUUCUGGAAUCUUUGGCCGAAGUAUCGAGCGUAAUAAAGGAAAGCGUUCCUAUACGACUCAAUUGAAUCAUAUAAGAAGGAAUAAUCA
This 833-nucleotide long non-coding RNA is filed under the name Malus domestica (apple). Its description in RNAcentral is "long non-coding RNA (MDOM_LNC012518)". The record is from RNAcentral. Lineage: Eukaryota; Viridiplantae; Streptophyta; Magnoliopsida; Rosales; Rosaceae.